RNAcentral lists this long non-coding RNA (246 nucleotides) under Elaeis guineensis (African oil palm). Its description in RNAcentral is "long non-coding RNA (EGUI_LNC031296)". Lineage: Eukaryota; Viridiplantae; Streptophyta; Magnoliopsida; Arecales; Arecaceae. The record is from RNAcentral.
GUUUUAUUUCUUAGUUAUACACAUAAGUAAUGAAUAAAAAUUUAGAAAGGUUGAUGAGCUGAUGUGGAUGAAGAAAAAGUAUAUGUGGGGUAUGGGUCGAACUUACUUCAACCUGCAUGUGAACCAAACACAAUUUGGUCCAUUGACACUCUUAGUUUGAAUCUUGCUUUUGUCCAAUUUUGGUCGAUCUUCCAUCCAUUUUACUUAAUAAACAAAAGAAAAAAAUAAAAAAGGUAAUAUGACAGC